GGGCCACCGUUUGUUGAGUGCAAAUAUGGAUGACUGUUUUUGCCGGCUUCACUGUCGGCUUAUAAGGGUUAUCAAAUAUCACUUUGAUUAAAUUAGAGUGCUCAAAGCAAGUGUGUUACUUGGAUAUAAAUGCAUGGAAUGAUGGAAUAUGUUGUUGUUCUAUUUGUCGGUUUUUGAACGAUGAAAUGAUUGAAAGGAACCGUUGGGGGCAUUCGUAUUGUUGUGAGAGAGGUGAAAUUCUUAGACCACAGCAAGACGAACUACUGCGAAAGCAUUUGCCAAGAAUGUUUUCAUUGAUCAAGAACGAAAGUAGAGGUUCGAAGGCGAUCAGAUACCGCCCUAGUUCUAACCAUAAACUAUGCCAACUAGCAAUCUGCUUAUAUAUGUUCUAUGAUUAAGUAGGCGGCCACGGGAAACCAAAGUAGGGUUAUGGGGGAAGUAUGGUUGCAAAGCUGAAACUUAAAGGAAUUGACGGAAGGGCACCACCAGGAGUGGAGCCUGCGGCUUAAUUUGACUCAACACGGGAAAACUUACCUGGUCCUGACACUAGAAGGAUUGACAGAUUGAUAGCUCUUUCUUGAUUUGGUGGAUGGUGGUGCAUGGCCGUUCUUAGUUGGUGGAGUGAUUUGUCUGGUUAAUUCCGAUAACGAACGAGACUCUAGCCUAUUAAAUAACACACAGAAUCUUGUCUUCUGUGGUGUUUCUUAAUGGGAUCAAGUG
This 720-nucleotide ribosomal RNA is filed under the name uncultured eukaryote. Its description in RNAcentral is "bacterial SSU rRNA". It matches the Rfam family "Eukaryotic small subunit ribosomal RNA", at positions 674 to 1426 of the family's 1831-position model. The record is from RNAcentral.